AAACAACAAGCCAAUCUUCAGCCCUAUGUUAACCUUGCAGUGGCGUACUACUUCUAGAACAUGGUGGAGGUGGUGAUAUGCAAGGAGGCGGAAGCGACAAGGGCAUGGCUAGGUCCAUCACUCAUCUCCAGUAGCUUGCAUUGGGUCAGAUCGAGGUAAAAAGUUGAUGCCAAACUCUCGUUGUUGUCUACUCCUCUACUCUAACCGCCAAAUCAAAUCAAGCAAGAGAGGUGUUGAUUGGGAGCCCUUUAGAUGAGGAUAUCAAUGCUAGCGAUCACUUGUCCUAACCCCCAUGGUUCAACUGAAUCAAGUCAAGAAGCUUGCAGCCAUUGAUGCUCCGAUCCACCAUUUUUUAUGGCCAUUUGUUGCGUUACCAGUCAUGUUAGGGAAGCUCACACCAUUGUCAAAUGGUGGCGGCUCACCAUGAAUCAGCCAAGAAGUGUGAGAGAAGGUCUGGCUCUUUGUGGUGGUGGAAGUGACAAAGGUAGUAGAAGGAUAAAGGAGAUCAGCGCAUAAAUCUUGGUUGAAAUUAUUUUUGUUGAGAGGGUAAUGAGACCAAGAGGCCAUCUCAUCCUCUUGCAUGAAAAUAUGUCAUUGUGGGGGAAAGGAGAAAGUAGAGAGAAACAAAGGAGAAAGGAGAAAAGGAGAGAUAGGAGGAGAAAGAGAAAUGGGAAAGGGAGAGAUCAGAGAGAGAGAGAGAGAGA
This 704-nucleotide unclassified non-coding RNA is filed under the name Hevea brasiliensis (rubber tree). The record is from RNAcentral. Lineage: Eukaryota; Viridiplantae; Streptophyta; Magnoliopsida; Malpighiales; Euphorbiaceae.